CGCUCUGUAUCCGGAAGCUUGUACACUGCUUUGCUCAGGUGGUUCUCCUAGUGACUGAUCGGUCUGAUUUCAAAAAAUCAACAAAAGCUGCAAGACAGAGAAAAUGUUGGCAACAGGCAUCUUGUGCAGAGAACAAAUUUAAGGAUGCAGGUUUGGAGCCUCCAUCAGACGGCCAGAGUUUGAAAAUUAGCAAACCGGACGGGAGAAUAAAAGUGCACAAACUAUUUUGGGGGAUGCUCGAAUUCUGAAUUUAAAAGGAGAAAGUACUGGAAACACACUCAGCAGAGUGAAUCGAAUUUCUGAAGAUUGACAUCUGUGAUAAUGAGGACCUCAUGAAGAGGAAAGUUGCUUUUGCCAGAGAUGAGCUGAAUGGUACCUCUUUACACUCAUGAAUAUAGUAAUGUUCUCUUUCCAUUGCAGUUAAGAAGACAGCACAAGAGAGGGAGGAGAUGGUGGCCUAGUGGUAUCAUCGCUGGACCAAUAAUCCAGAGAUCCAGUGAAUAAUACAGUAAAAUACAGUGAAAAGCUUGAACUGUUGCCACAAUCUGGCGCCAUUUGGAUAGUUUAAGGAUAAAAAGAUAUAACAGAGAGUCUAUCUUCGCUCUGCUGCCUCCACCACGAGUCUUCAGUCAGCCCACCAGCGACAUGACACCUGCGCCACCACCCCUCCUCCACCGCCGUCGGCUCUGGACCCACCAUCGUAGGAGUCUCCGCUCUUUAGGCGCCAGCUCUUUGCCACUUGGCCUAUCUCACUGACAGUAUCACUGAGUCCCAUGGUGGACCCACACGCGCCCUGCUACCAGCUGCCACCAUCGCUUCGCUGGUAACCAGGAGUCUGCGCUCUCGACCUACUGUGACUUCAAUCAGGAGUCCCUAGCUCUGCUGCCGCCUCGAAGAUGCCAGGAGUCCUGCUCUGGGCACACCACCCCGUUGCCACUGCAGCCACCACCUCCAAUGCCAGGAGCCCCCACUCUUGCCCAACUACAACCAGGAGUCCCUGGCUCUGCUGCCAGGCCAAGCCAGGCCACCACAGCACCAAGGUCCCACUCCAGCCGCCCUCCUCCGAGACAUUGUCUUGCUGUCACCGCCAUCUCGAAGACUCUGCUGCUCUUGCCACCGCUGCCUCUGAUGGCUGCAAGAGCUUUGCUGUCUCCGCUGGGAGGACGUCCAGGCUGCUUCUGCCACCACCUCCAAUUGCCAGGAAGUGCCAUAUCCAUUUCCGACCGCCAGGAGGCUGCUGCCAAUCCACGCAUGGCCCGCUCUCACUGCCGCACUGAUGCCGCCAAUUAACCCACCAAAGAAAAGAAAAAUGAAAGAAAAAAAGAAAGAGAAAGAACAGAAGUAAAAAGAAAAGAAAGAAAGCAGAUGAGCACCAGGCAAGAGCCUGCACGCAGCUCUGCCACCCUGCAACCAUCUUGGAAUCAAGGAAAUUGCUUUGUGGAACCUUUGUUUCAUCUCUAAGCCUCUGGGUGACUGUCACCUUAAUUCUCCAACCUUUUCUCCAACCCAUCUUUCUCAAGUUUCUGCAUUGUUCCAUUGAAAAUCAAUGGAAACUCAAGGAGCAACAAUUCCUUUUCGAUUAGGUACUUUACAUACUUUUAAAUUAACAAUUUAAGAUUAUGAGUUUGCAGAAAAAUAGACACAUUUUGUUCUGCAUACGUCAGAUCAACAACUUUAAAUUAUGGUCAUCCCACUUUGUCAUACAGCACUUCUUGAUAAGGAUUCUAUUGUUGCUGUUUGCAUCUCCUCCAGAUCCAUUUUUAAUUCUUUAUAUAUCCCAUUUACACCUCCUUUCGCCUUGCACCAUUAUUCCUUUUGUCAUUUAAUCUCUCCUGCCUUCCAGCUAUCACAAACCUUCCCUUUUGUUAUUAACCCAUUUCUCAGCUUCUGUAUUUGCUUAAAAUUGGUUUCUGAUUAAAGGUCAACCUGAAUUGUUAAUAUUAUUUUUCUCUCUACAAACACUAUGUGACCUGCUAAGUAUUUCCUGUAUUUCUUCGUUUUUUACUGAUUGCCAGAAUGUACAAUGUUCUGAAAAAGAAACAGAAAGUGUUGGAACUUUGCAGUAGUGUUAUGCUUUUCUAU
Long non-coding RNA from Rhincodon typus (whale shark), 2082 nucleotides. RefSeq lists it as uncharacterized. Lineage: Eukaryota; Metazoa; Chordata; Chondrichthyes; Orectolobiformes; Rhincodontidae. The transcript has 6 exons. The record is from RefSeq and is a predicted model, not a curated record.